AUCCAUUUGUUGUUCAUGCGCGUGUGAUUCCGCGUGUGUGAAAUGCGCCCACCCUCAAAUCUUGUUUUGGCACAUUACCCAUCUGACA
Molecule: small nucleolar RNA, 88 nt
Organism: Macaca fascicularis (crab-eating macaque)
Lineage: Eukaryota; Metazoa; Chordata; Mammalia; Primates; Cercopithecidae
Source: Ensembl